GCCUUUCUGAGCAGGAAGCGAGUCGCUCGCUGCCCCCGGGUGCGGGCGCGCAGGACCAGCAGCUGCCCCCAGCCACGGGCGCGCCACCUGUUUCCGCCUGGGACUUCCCCCAGCCGGCUCCGAAGUGUGGAGUCAGCAGCUUGGCCUGGCCCGGCAUCAGGGGCCCAGCGCAGCCCUACCCCACCGCCGCCUCCCGUGAGGCCCCGCCUGGAAGAGGCGUGGACUGCACCCUGGUGCGCGCGUUCUGGGCUUGGCCUUGAAAAUCAGGAUGGCGAUGACCGCUGAGCAGUAACCAUCUGAGAUGCUUCUGACAUUGUCACGCCACUCCUAAAUACCUGUAUCUCCUAUGAACAAAAUGCAGUCCACUGACACAGUCAUCAAGAAAUGGCAGAGAAAGAAAGAAUCUGGAUUUCCAAGGUGUGGUGGUGGUGUACACCUGUAAUCCCAGCUACUCAGAAGGCUGAAGUAGGAGGAUCUGCAAUUUGAAGGGGAAGGACAACUGGUUUUACAAACUGCCUCUGCAAACAAAGCAACCAAAGCCUGGAAUUUGAACUUGCUUACUUAGAAGCCUCUACAAAUCCCAGAAUAUGAAAACUGCCUGUCCAUUUGGUUGGGGGGUU
Molecule: long non-coding RNA, 620 nt
Filed under: Heterocephalus glaber (naked mole-rat)
Lineage: Eukaryota; Metazoa; Chordata; Mammalia; Rodentia; Bathyergidae
Description: lncRNA (ENSHGLG00000048101.1)
Source: RNAcentral